AGGUAACAUGGUGAGGGCACCUUCUCAAUAAGUUCUUAUACCUCUCCCAUGCAUCAUAUAAGGUUUCUAACUCGAUUUGAACGAAGAAAGAGAUAUCAUUCCUCAACUU
Molecule: small nucleolar RNA, 109 nt
Filed under: Gossypium hirsutum (cotton)
Lineage: Eukaryota; Viridiplantae; Streptophyta; Magnoliopsida; Malvales; Malvaceae
Description: Plant small nucleolar RNA R71
Rfam family: Plant small nucleolar RNA R71
About the family: R71 is a member of the C/D box family of snoRNAs containing the C (UGAUGA) and D (CUGA) box motifs.
Source: Rfam by way of RNAcentral